Molecule: non-coding RNA, 23 nt
Filed under: Cricetulus griseus (Chinese hamster)
Lineage: Eukaryota; Metazoa; Chordata; Mammalia; Rodentia; Cricetidae
Source: RNAcentral
CCUUGCCUGAUCCAGCUCGUGGC